RNAcentral lists this ribosomal RNA (451 nucleotides) under uncultured soil bacterium. Its description in RNAcentral is "bacterial SSU rRNA". It matches the Rfam family "Bacterial small subunit ribosomal RNA", at positions 26 to 454 of the family's 1533-position model. The record is from RNAcentral.
AGGACGAACGCUGGCGGCGUGCUUAACACAUGCAAGUCGAACGGAAAGGCCCUGCUUUUGUGGGGUGCUCGAGUGGCGAACGGGUGAGUAACACGUGAGUAACCUGCCCUUGACUUUGGGAUAACUUCAGGAAACUGGGGCUAAUACCGGAUAGGAGCUCCUGCUGCAUGGUGGGGUUGGAAAGUUUCGGCGGUUGGGGAUGGACUCGCGGCUUAUCAGCUUGUUGGUGGGUAGUGGCUUACCGAAGGCUUUGACGGGUAGCCGGCCUGAGAGGGUGACCGGCACGAGUUGGGACUGGAGAUACCGGCCCAGACUCCGUACGGGAGCAGCGAGGUGGGAAUAGUUGACUACGAAGUGGGACGGAAGCCGUAGAUGACAGCAACGCCGCGUGACGGAUCGGACGGUCCGUUACGGGUUACGUAAACCGUCUUACGCCGUGUGACGAGCGUAG